UACGGGGGGGGCAAGCGUUGUUCGGAAUUACUGGGCGUAAAGGGCUCGUAGGCGGCCACCUAAGUCCGACGUGAAAUCCCCAGGCUUAACCUGGGAACUGCGUCGGAUACUGGAUGGCUUGAAUCCGGGAGAGGGAUGCGGAAUUCCAGGUGUAGCGGUGAAAUGCGUAGAUAUCUGGAGGAACACCGGUGGCGAAGGCGGCAUCCUGGACCGGCAUUGACGCUGAGGAGCGAAAGCCAGGGGAGCAAACGGG
RNAcentral lists this ribosomal RNA (253 nucleotides) under uncultured bacterium. RNAcentral's name for it is "partial 16S ribosomal RNA". It matches the Rfam family "Bacterial small subunit ribosomal RNA", at positions 524 to 776 of the family's 1533-position model. The record is from RNAcentral.